Molecule: long non-coding RNA, 536 nt
Organism: Sardina pilchardus (European sardine)
Lineage: Eukaryota; Metazoa; Chordata; Actinopteri; Clupeiformes; Clupeidae
Exons: 3
Source: RefSeq, a predicted model, not a curated record
GGUGAUUCAGGAGACUCCAAAGACUGAGGCCGUUCCAGGAAACGUGGCGAUCGCCUCCAGCAAACUGGGGAGCAGACCCACCAUCACCACCUGCAGCAACUGCAGGCAGCGUGUGGAGACUAAAGUCCGUUACACAAAAGGAUGUUUCUCUUGGAGUAUGUGCAGCCUAAUGUUCUGUUUUGGGAUAGUGUGUGGAUGCUGCCUGAUCCCUUUCUUCUCAAAGAGCUGCAAAGACGCCCAUCACUCCUGUCCUCAGUGUAAUGCUGACCUGUGUGUGCACAAGAAAUGCUGCUGUUAAAUCACACACACACACACACACACACACACACACACACACAUUUACUGAUCCCUUUCUUCUCAAAGAGCUGCAAAGAUGCCCAUCACUCCUGUCCUCAGUGUAAUGCUGACCUGUGUGUGUACAAUAAAUGCUGCUGUUAACAACACACACACACACACACACACACACACACACACCUAAAGAAAAGCUAAGAGCAGUACAAAGACCUCCUCAUAGCCUCCAUCUAAAUAUGUCAGAU